CAAACUAGGAGGAUGGCGACCGGCGCACGGGUGAGUAACACGUAUCCAACCUGCCGAUAACUCGGGGAUAGCCUUUCGAAAGAAAGAUUAAUACCCGAUAGUAUAACGAAACCGCAUGGUCUUAUUAUUAAAGAAUUUCGGUUAUCGAUGGGGGAUGCGUUCCAUUAGGCAGUUGGUGAGGUAACGGCUCACCAAACCUUCGAUGGAUAGGGGUUCUGAGAGGAAGGUCCCCCACAUUGGAACUGAGACACGGUCCAA
Molecule: ribosomal RNA, 258 nt
Filed under: uncultured bacterium
Lineage: Bacteria
Description: partial 16S ribosomal RNA
Rfam family: Bacterial small subunit ribosomal RNA
Source: RNAcentral